GUUUGACUUUGGAAUUUUCAAAAUGGCCGCCGUUACCAUGGAAACAGCUAAAAUAUCAAAAAUUCUAACUCUUUCGUUAUAACAUCCAACUGGAUGAAACUUUAUGAAAAUGUUCUCCAGUAUGCCAAGAUGUCAAGACAAUAUAUGGAUAGUUCAAAAUGGCCGCCGUUGUCAUGGAAACUAGGGCCAAGUUUUGCAUUGACCCUAUGGAAAAAUGCAUAAAAUCAGCAUUUUCUCAGAGAGUAGUGCACCAAAGUCAAUGAAACUGUAUUGAUAUAUAACAUGACAUGUGGCAAUGAGAUGUACGCUUUUAGAAUUUUGGAAUUAUCUACUGUAACCAUGGUUGCAGCACAAAUGUUCAAAAUUUUCAAAAAAAAUUAAGUGCUGCAAACUGGAUGAAACUUUACAGGAAUAGUGACUGACAUGUGCGGAGUUGCAUUUUGAAGUUGGAAUUUCCAAAAUGGCCGCCGUAACCAUCGAAACAGCAAAAUUGUCCAAAAUUUCAAAAUGCUUCAAACUUAAUGAAAUUUUACAAAAAUGAUGACUUGCAUGUGUAGAUGCACUCUUUGACUUUGAAAUUUUCAAAAUGGCUGCCGCUCGCCUGGCAAUGGGGGGACGAGGGUGCCAUCCGUUAUUGCUAGCAAUUACAAAUCUAGUUAUAUUUAUUCUUCCACACUUUUUUGUCCAUUCUAUUUCUCGGAAUUGGCUUGAACAAUAUUGAUGGAACUAUACCAUAAUGUAGACCACCACAUUCUAUAGUGCAGUGGGGUAUGGCACCAUCAAGAUGGCUGCCGUUGCCAUGGAAAUGAAACAAAUGUAAAAAAAUUCUGUUUUUUGUUUUGGUGAACUGUUUGAAUAUGCUUAAACUCAGAAUCAUCAUAUUUUAAUACAAUGAAGGUGCCCACUAUAUACAGGUGUUGGAUGAUUUUGGCACUCAUUGGACCUACUAUGUUGCCAUGGAAAACUAAACCAAAAAUUUCAAAAAUAUCAAAAUGCUCCAAUCUUUAUGAAACUUCACAGUUACGAUGAGCAACAUUGGAAGAUGUGGAAUUUGGCGUUGGAAUUUCCAAAAUAUCUGUAGAUACCAUGGAAACAAUGCAAAAAGGUCAAAACUUUGAAUUUUCACAGAACAUUCCAGAACAUCAAUGUUAAAUGUAUUCUAGAGACAUUAAAUGGUAUAUGAUGGUAUAUAUGAUAAUGGAGGGAAAAAAUUGCAGCGGGGGUUUCACUUUGGAAUAUUCAAAAUGGCCGCCGUUACCAUGGGAACAGCAAAAAUUUCAAAAAUUUCAAAGUUUUCCAAACUUAAUGAAACUUUACAAAAUUGACAAUUGACAUGAGUAGAUGCACUCUAUGAUUUUGGAAUUUUCAAAAUGGCUGCCGCUCGCCUGGCAAUGGGGGAAGGGUGCCAUCCGCUAUUGCUUGCAAUGGCAAAUCUAGUUAUGGCACCCUCAACGGAGUUGGGGUGACAUAUUGUUAUUCUACGUUUCUUUUUAUUCUUUUUUUUAUUAUUAUUUUUCUUCCAUUAUUUUUGUCCGGAGCCGUUCUCAGAAUAGAAUGGACCAAAGUCGAUGGAACUAUGGUAUAAUGUUGACCACCAUGCGAAGUUGUCCUCGACUGACUUGGAAUGGUCAAGAUGGCCACCGUUACCAUGGAAACAGCAAAAAUGCGAAAAAAAUCAAAGUGUUCCAAAGUGGAAGAAACUUCACAGGAAUGGUAACUGGCAUGUGCUCAUUUACAGUUUGACUUCGGAAUUUUCAAAAUGGCCGCCGUUACCAUGGAAACUGCAAAAAUGUCAAAAAUUUCAAAAAGCUCCAAAAUUGAUGAAACUUUCAAAAAAAUGUUAAUUUGCAAGUGAAGAUGCACUCUUUGACUGAGGAAUUUUCAAAAUGGCUGCCGUUACCCUGGCAAUGGGGGAAGGGUGCCAUCCGUUAUUGCUAGCAAUUACAAAUCUAGUUAUGGCACCCUCAACGGAGUUGGGGUGACAUAUUGUUAUUCUACGUUUCUUUUUUUUCUUAUUAUUUUUAUUUUUCUUCCACACAUUUUGUCCGCGCGAGUUCUCAGAAUUGAACCUACCAAUGUUUAUGGAACUCAACUAUAAUGAAGAACCCCACUUGAAGUUGUGCACCUUGCUAUGGAAUGGUAAAAGAUGGCCGCCGUUUCCAUGGAAACAGCACAAAUGCGAAAAAAAUCAAAGUGGUCCAAACUGGAAGAAACUCCACAGGAAUGUUAACUGGCAUGUGCUGAUUUCCAGUUUGACUUUGGAAUUUUCAAAAUGGCUGCCGUUACCAUGGAAACAGCUAAAAUAUCAAAAAUUCUAACUCUUUCGUUAUAACAUCCAACUGGAUGAAACUUUAUGAAAAUGUUCUCCAGUAUGCCAAGAUGUCAAGACAAUAUUUGGAUAGUUCAAAAUGGCCGCCGUUGUCAUGGAAACUGGGGCCAAGUUUUGCAUUGACCCUAUGGAAAAAUGCAUAAAAUCAGCAUUUUCUCAGAGAGUAGUGCACCAAAGUUAAUGAAAAUGUAUUGAUAUAUAACAUGACAUGUGGCAAAGAGAUGUACGCUUUUAGAAUUUUGGAAUUAUCUACUGUAACCAUGGUUGCAGCACAAAUGUUCAAAAUUUCCAAAAAAAUUAAAAUGCUGCAAACUGGAUGAAACUUUACAGGAAUAGUAACUGACAUGUGCGGAGUUGCAUUUUGAAGUUGGAAUUUCCAAAAUGGCUGCCGUUACCAUGGAAACAGCAAAAUUGUCCAAAAUUUCAAAAUGCUCCAAACUUAAUGAAACUUUACAAAAAUGAUGACUUGCAGGUGUAGAUGCACUCUUUGACUUUGAAAUUUUCAAAAUGGCUGCCGCUCGCCUGGCAAUGGGGGACGAGGGUGCCAUCCGUUAUUGCUAGCAAUUACAAAUCUAGUUAUUAUUUUUAUUCUUCCACACAUUUUGUCCAUGCUAUUUCUCUGAAUUGGUCAGACCCAUGUUGAUGGAACUAUACCAAAAUAUGAACCGCCAUGUGAAGUAGUGCAAGAGACAUUGGAAUGGUAAAAAAUGGCCGCCGUUACCAUGGAAACUGCAAAAAUGUAAAAAAAAAUCAAAAUUCUAAAUCUUUCGUUAUAAGAGUCAACCUAAUGAAAGUUUAUGUAAAUGUUGGCAGUGGUGCCCUGAGGUACCAACAGUACUCGGAAUUUUCAAAAUGGCUGCCAUUGCCAUGGAAACUUGAGAAAAGUUUAACAUUGAUCCUAUGGGGAAAAACAUCAAAGCAGCAUAUUUUUAAGGAAUAUAAGAUCAAAGUGGAACAAAUUUCAUGUAUAUAUAUAAC
This 3307-nucleotide long non-coding RNA is filed under the name Mytilus galloprovincialis (Mediterranean mussel). Lineage: Eukaryota; Metazoa; Mollusca; Bivalvia; Mytilida; Mytilidae. The record is from RNAcentral.